This 253-nucleotide ribosomal RNA is filed under the name uncultured bacterium. RNAcentral's name for it is "partial 16S ribosomal RNA". It matches the Rfam family "Bacterial small subunit ribosomal RNA", at positions 524 to 776 of the family's 1533-position model. The record is from RNAcentral.
UACGAAGGGGGCUAGCGUUGCUCGGAAUCACUGGGCGUAAAGGGCGCGUAGGCGGAUCUUUAAGUCGGGGGUGAAAGCCCAGGGCUCAACCCUGGAAUUGCCUUCGAUACUGGAGAUCUUGAGACCGGAAGAGGUAAGUGGAACUGCGAGUGUAGAGGUGAAAUUCGUAGAUAUUCGGAAGAACACCAGUGGCGAAGGCGGCUCACUGGCCCGGUACUGACGCUGAGGUGCGAAAGCGUGGGGAGCGAACAGG